AGAGUUUGAUCAUGGCUCAGAAUAAACGCUGGCGGCGUGCCUAACACAUGCAAGUCGAGCGAGAAAGCUCUUUCGGGAGUGAGUACAGCGGCGGACGGGUGAGUAACGCGUGAGAAUCUGCCCUUCAGUGAGGAAUACCUCAGAGAAAUCUGAGAUAAUACUGCAUACGUCCCUUCGGGGAGAAAGAUGGCCUCUUUGCUAUCGCUGAUUGAUGAGCUUGCGUACUAUUAGCUAGUUGGUGGGGUAAAGGCCUACCAAGGCGAGGAUGGUUAGCCGACCUGAGAGGGUGUACGGCCACACUGGAACUGAGACACGGUCCAGACUCCUACGGGAGGCAGCAGUGAGGAAUAUUGCGCAAUAGGCGAAAGCCUGACGCAGCGACGCCGCGUGGAGGAUGAAGGUUUUAGGAUUGUAAACUCCUGUUAAGUGGGAAGAAAGGCUCAUUUCUAAUACAAAUGAGAUAUGACGGUACCAUUAGAGAAAGCACCGGCUAACUUCGUGCCAGCAGCCGCGGUAAUACGAGGGGUGCAAGCGUUAUUCGGAAUUAUUGGGCGUAAAGGGUGCGUAGGCGGUAUGUUAAGUCAAUUGUUCAAUUCUCCGGCCUAACCGGAGGCAAGCGAUAGAUACUGGCAUACUAGAGGGUGGAAGAGAGAAGUGGAAUUCUCGGAGUAGCGGUAAAAUGCGUAGAUCUCGAGAGGAACACCAAUGGCGAAGGCAGCUUCUUGGUCCACACCUGACGCUGAGGCACGAAAGCGUGGGGAGCAAACAGGAUUAGAUACCCUAGUAGUCC
Molecule: ribosomal RNA, 790 nt
Filed under: uncultured bacterium
Lineage: Bacteria
Description: bacterial SSU rRNA
Rfam family: Bacterial small subunit ribosomal RNA
Source: RNAcentral